UGCCAGACUCCUACGGGAGGCAGCAGUGGGGAAUAUUGCACAAUGGGGGAAACCCUGAUGCAGCGACGCCGCGUGAGCGAUGAAGUAUUUCGGUAUGUAAAGCUCUAUCAGCAGGGAAGAAAAUGACGGUACCUGACUAAGAAGCCCCGGCUAACUACGUGCCAGCAGCCGCGGUAAUACGUAGGGGGCAAGCGUUAUCCGGAUUUACUGGGUGUAAAGGGAGCGUAGACGGCGGUGCAAGCCAGAUGUGAAAGCCCGGGGCUCAACCCCGGGACUGCAUUUGGAACUGUGCUGCUAGAGUGUCGGAGAGGCAGGCGGAAUUCCUAGUGUAGCGGUGAAAUGCGUAGAUAUUAGGAGGAACACCAGUGGCGAAGGCGGCCUGCUGGGCUUUAACUGACGCUGAGGCUCGAAAGCGUGGGUAGCAAACAGGAUUAGAUACCCCCGUAA
This 447-nucleotide ribosomal RNA is filed under the name uncultured bacterium. Its description in RNAcentral is "partial 16S ribosomal RNA". It matches the Rfam family "Bacterial small subunit ribosomal RNA", at positions 329 to 793 of the family's 1533-position model. The record is from RNAcentral.